GAUUAACGCUGGCGGCGUGCCUAACACAUGCAAGUCGAGCGGCAGCGAGUUUUACACUGAAUUCUGGAAGCUUCUAGUUGAAAGAGAAGAUUUAUUCAAGAAUUUUGUGUAAAAUGUCGGCGAGCGGCGGACGGCUGAGUAACGCGUGGGAACGUACCCCAAAGUGAGGGAUAACGCAUCGAAAGGUGUGCUAAUACCGCAUAUGGUCUUCGGAUUAAAGCCUUCGGGCGCUUUGGGAACGGCCUGCGUAAGAUUAGAUAGUUGGUGGGGUAAUGGCCUACCAAGUCGACGAUCUUUAACUGGUUUGAGAGGAUGAUCAGUCAGACUGGAACUGAGACACGGUCCAGACUCCUACGGGAGGCAGCAGUGAGGAAUCUUCCACAAUGGGCGAAAGCCUGAUGGAGCAACGCCGCGUGCAGGAUGAAGGCCUUCGGGUUGUAAACUGCUUUUAGAAGUGAGGAUUAUGACAGGAACUUAUGAAUAAGGAUCGGCUAACUACGU
Molecule: ribosomal RNA, 501 nt
Filed under: uncultured bacterium
Lineage: Bacteria
Description: partial 16S ribosomal RNA
Rfam family: Bacterial small subunit ribosomal RNA
Source: RNAcentral